GGACUUAGCUCAGUGGUAGAGCACUUGCCUAGCAAGCACAAGGCCCUGGGUUCUGUCCCCAGGUCCG
Molecule: transfer RNA, 67 nt
Filed under: Rattus norvegicus (Norway rat)
Lineage: Eukaryota; Metazoa; Chordata; Mammalia; Rodentia; Muridae
Rfam family: tRNA
About the family: Transfer RNA (tRNA) molecules are approximately 80 nucleotides in length. Their secondary structure includes four short double-helical elements and three loops (D, anti-codon, and T loops). Further hydrogen bonds mediate the characteristic L-shaped molecular structure. tRNAs have two regions of fundamental functional importance: the anti-codon, which is responsible for specific mRNA codon recognition, and the 3' end, to which the tRNAs corresponding amino acid is attached (by aminoacyl-tRNA synthetases). tRNAs cope with the degeneracy of the genetic code in two manners: having more than one tRNA (with a specific anti-codon) for a particular amino acid; and 'wobble' base-pairing, i.e. permitting non-standard base-pairing at the 3rd anti-codon position.
Source: Rfam by way of RNAcentral